GUAAAAUUGAAAAACGUGUAAAUAUUCAACUAAUCACAUAGGUACUAAGUUUAGUAACUCUUACUGAAACAAAUUGAAAAAUUGCUUCUAAGCGUUCGUUGUUAUUAUUCAUGUAAUACAAGAAUUAAAAUACACAAGUUACAAAACAAUAACUUAACAGUUAAUGAGACAAAUUUCUCACACGGCCUCUAUAUGGUCAAAUUCGUAACGCUUAAUAGUGACGGUAGUUUUGUACUACAAAAUGGUUAAAUUUCACGAAUCCGCGCUAAAUAUAUCUAACUAAGUAUAUUUGACCAUGAUAUUCAUAUUGCCUAAUGCACGAACCAUGUAAACAAAUUAAUAAAUGAUUAAUUUUCUAGUUCUGUCCUUAAGUUAACAACAAUGCGAAUAUGUGUCCAAAUGUUGCGUCCCUAAUAUUAUACCGACUAAACGAACGAGAUUUGGCAUUCCGCUGUAUGCCAAUGACAUUAAAUUCAAGAAUAAUUGAAACAUCGUCCCUAUUCAUGAUGGCAAUAUUGUGAAUACGUACUUCCAUUAUGGACAAAUGAUUACACCAUCAUCAUGGGGUACAAUGGUCCGUUGGUAAGGUUUUAAAUAUUGGCGGUCGGUCGAAUAACUGAGUAAUGGCGUACCAUAAUGAUGGUGGUUUAACAUCACACGAUACUAUACUGAUAAACAAAUAUUUACACCGCGCGCAUGACCUGCACCAUUACGUGGUGCAUAUACGGGGGUGCCAGGGGGUACUUAACACUUCCAGAUUUUGAGCUAAAUAUAAAAUACUCGAAUAGUAACGUAAAGUGCUGCACUUGAAAAUCCGAGUAUAGAGUUUCUGGUAACGACGUUGGUCGCAGAAACAAAACUAAACAUCAUUGUAAAGCCAAAGCUCCGCUCAGAAUUUAAAAGAAACAGAAAACUAUCGAAUUAUACGAAAAAAAAAAAAAAAUGAAAAUAUUUUCAUAUUUUUAUAUUGAAACUGGUUGUAACGCGACGUAAAUGUCCGCAGCAUUCCGCUUGAUUUUUACGUCAAACCAGAAAAAUAAUCAAAUGUUAUUAUUUCCGAACCAUGAUUAUUGUACGCGGUAUUAGAUUUGUAUGCACUUUUAAAAUAUAAAACGAAAUUCGUUUAGAUCGAGUUGCACGCGUACAAUCGCCGAAAUAUUGCGGAUAACGUAAUAAAACAUUCAACACGGUCAAUAACAUCACGCAAUGUUUUUCGAAGAAUAUUAUUUUUUCACGAUUCGAAAUCGAGUAAGACGUUCUCGGAGACUCGACUGUAAGUCGACACACUGUCCGUUAUAAUAUUAUUCGGAACCCGUUGUCGCGUACACAUUUCCGGUACAAGGCAAUUAACGUGUUAACAUGCAAAACCAACGCAAUUGCGUUCUUAUUGCAUGUAAAUCGUUCGAUGGGCAUUUAGAACGGUCCGAAUUUACUCGGCGGCCGCUCACGCCGAUGAAAAUAAUGAGACGCAAUUGGAUACCGGCGGUAGAUAAUUCAAUAACCGCCGCCGACGCGUCGCGGUGACACGUGGACACGUGUGCUCGCUAGUAUAUCAAAUUGUAAACGGUUAUUUUUGUUAAUCGCAAUCAGACGCGCGUAUAUUAUCGGCUCGGUCGACGACAUUCGAUUAGUUUAUUUUACCGCGUUGAAUUGCAAAUAUUACGAGCGCCUGUGUAACGAGCAAUGACGGUCGCCGCCGCAAUACACACGCAAUUACGAUCGCUCGAUUCGG
This 1732-nucleotide long non-coding RNA is filed under the name Cinara cedri. The record is from RNAcentral. Lineage: Eukaryota; Metazoa; Arthropoda; Insecta; Hemiptera; Aphididae.